This 462-nucleotide ribosomal RNA is filed under the name uncultured bacterium. Its description in RNAcentral is "bacterial SSU rRNA". It matches the Rfam family "Bacterial small subunit ribosomal RNA", at positions 8 to 507 of the family's 1533-position model. The record is from RNAcentral.
AGAGUUUGAUCAUGGCUCAGGAUGAAUGCUGGCGGCGUGCCUAAUACAUGCAAGUCGAGCGGUAAGGCCUUCGGGGUACACGAGCGGCGGACGGCUGAGUAACGCGUGGGAACAUGCCCCAAAGUGAGGGAUAACGCACCGAAAGGUGUGCUAAUACCGCAUAUGGUCUUCGGAUUAAAGGAUUUAUCCGCUUUGGGAGUGGCCCGCGUACGAUUAGAUUGUUGGUGAGGUAACGGCUCACCAAGUCGACGAUCGUUAACUGGUCUGAGAGGAUGAUCAGUCAGACUGGAACUGAGACACGGUCCAGACUCCUACGGGAGGCAGCAGUAAGGAAUCUUCCACAAUGGGCGAAAGCCUGAUGGAGCAACGCCGCGUGCAGGAUGAAGGCCCUCGGGUCGUAAACUGCUUUUAUGAGUGAAGAAUAUGACGGUAACUCAUGAAUAAGCACCGGCUAACUACGUG